UAGGGAAUCUUCCACAAUGGGCGCAAGCCUGAUGGAGCAACGCCGCGUGUGUGAAGAAGGUCUUCGGAUUGUAAAGCACUUUCGACGGGGACGAUGAUGACGGUACCCGUAGAAGAAGCCCCGGCUAACUUCGUGCCAG
Molecule: ribosomal RNA, 139 nt
Filed under: uncultured bacterium
Lineage: Bacteria
Description: partial 16S ribosomal RNA
Rfam family: Bacterial small subunit ribosomal RNA
Source: RNAcentral